CCGGAACUGAGACACGGUCCGGACUCCUACGGGAGGCAGCAGUGGGGAAUAUUGGACAAUGGGGGCAACCCUGAUCCAGCCAUGCCGCGUGUGUGAAGAAGGCCUUUUGGUUGUAAAGCACUUUAAGCAGGGAGGAGAGGCUAAUGGUUAAUACCCAUUAGAUUAGACGUUACCUGCAGAAUAAGCACCGGCUAACUCUGUGCCAGCAGCCGCGGUAAUACAGAGGGUGCGAGCGUUAAUCGGAAUUACUGGGCGUAAAGCGAGUGUAGGUGGCUCAUUAAGUCACAUGUGAAAUCCCCGGGCUUAACCUGGGAACUGCAUGUGAUACUGGUGGUGCU
RNAcentral lists this ribosomal RNA (338 nucleotides) under Faucicola osloensis. Its description in RNAcentral is "bacterial SSU rRNA". It matches the Rfam family "Bacterial small subunit ribosomal RNA", at positions 313 to 642 of the family's 1533-position model. Lineage: Bacteria; Pseudomonadati; Pseudomonadota; Gammaproteobacteria; Moraxellales; Moraxellaceae. The record is from RNAcentral.